Saimiri boliviensis boliviensis (Bolivian squirrel monkey) is the source of this 141-nucleotide small nuclear RNA. Its record names the gene U4. It matches the Rfam family "U4 spliceosomal RNA". From Rfam's summary of the family: U4 small nuclear RNA (U4 snRNA) is a component of the major U2-dependent spliceosome. The structure of U4 snRNA from yeast and human has been reported. U4 snRNA presents a k-turn RNA motif in the 5p-SL related to recognition of Snu13 protein. Lineage: Eukaryota; Metazoa; Chordata; Mammalia; Primates; Cebidae. The record is from Ensembl.
AGCGUUGCUCCGUGGCAGUCUCAUAGUUCAUGAGGUUUAUCUAAGGCGUGAUUAUUGCUAAUUGAAAACUUUUUCCAAUACCCCUCCAUGAUGACUUGAAAUAUAGUCAGCAUUGGUAAUUUUUGACAGUCUCUAUGGAGA